GCGCCCCGCAGGGGAGCGGCAGACGGGUGAGUAACGCGUGGGAACGUGCCUUGUGGUUCGGAACAACCUAGGGAAACUUGGGCUAAUACCGGAUGAUCCCGUGAGGGGAAAGAUUUAUCGCCACAAGAGCGGCCCGCGUUGGAUUAGCUAGUUGGUGGGGUAACGGCCUACCAAGGCUUCGAUCCAUAGCUGGUCUGAGAGGACGACCAGCCACACUGGGACUGAGACACGGCCCAGACUCCUACGGGAGGCAGCAGUGGGGAAUCUUGGACAAUGGGGGCAACCCUGAUCCAGCCAUGCCGCGUGGACGAUGAAGGUCUUCGGGUUGUAAAGUCCUUUUGGCGGGGACGAUAAUGACGGUACCCGCAGAAUAAGCCCCGGCUAACUUCGUGCCAGCAGCCGCGGUAAUACGAAGGGGGCUAGCGUUGUUCGGAAUUACUGGGCGUAAAGCGCGCGCA
RNAcentral lists this ribosomal RNA (458 nucleotides) under uncultured bacterium. RNAcentral describes it as "bacterial SSU rRNA". It matches the Rfam family "Bacterial small subunit ribosomal RNA", at positions 80 to 573 of the family's 1533-position model. The record is from RNAcentral.